GUUCCAGUUAUGACCUAGUUCUUGUGGUGGUCAAGUUUCAUUGCAUUAUAGACUGCUUUUAUGUGUAUCAAAAUUUAUUCAUUGGCUACCAUUGUGAAUAACUUGCAAUGGACAAGUUCAUCUGAAACCUUUUUAUUAGAUAUUAAAACUCUAAUCAUUGGCUUAUUGUGUCGCAGUUUUCCCAAUUGUAGAUAGUAAAAUUAAAGUCGUUCCUAGCAAACAAUCGUGCAUUCUGUUGGUUAAUUUGAUCUGCAUAGUAUCAUUUGUGACCAACGUGUAUUUGUUCCUGCUGUCCAACAAUUCGCUCGUUCAAAGGCAACAAACGGAGGAUAGCGAAUCGCUACCGGAACCAACGCAAAUUCUGCUGAUCGAUCGUGUCAAUUGUGCUUAACAACGAAUCGCUAUACUCCGGGCUGAUCGUGGUCCGGCACAAGAUGCUAUACCGGAUCUACGCUUGCACGGGAAAUUGUAACAUACCGAAACCGAAUGAGGGGGAAGAUGCAUCAAACGGUGCGGAAUCGUCCCCACUGGGCUACCGACCAACGUGUAAUUGUUCCUGCUGUCUGAAAGGUCGACCGGACUCGCUCGAUCAAGUACCAAACGGGAUACUGAGUCGCUACCGGAAGCGACACCAAUUCCGCUGAAAUCUAUCGUUUGUGUGUUACCACGAACCGCUAUACUCCGCGCUGAUCGUGCUCCGGAACGAAAUGCUACACCGGUUCUACGCUUGCAUGGGAAUUUUAAUCGUACCGAAACGGUAAGAGUCAAUGUCCAUCUGCUUCCAGUGUGCGGCAAUGAGAUUUCAGCUCGCCGGAUACACCACGGCCGCAGCUGCUUGUAGCAGGUGAAUUUGCUCAACACCAUAUUACGUUUAAAAGCGACCCAGACCGCCCGAAAUGUCACCUGAUUUGCUCUCUGAACGCGUUGCUCAUCCAGAGUUGCUUAUUUUGGCUAUUCGCAACUAACCUACACUGGAUACAAGUCGUUCCUGCAUCCGCCACCCGUGGACGCGCUCGAUGGCUCUCAACUGAGUUUGUGUAUGUAUGUGCCAUUAGGAGCCUUGAGGACAACCAUAACAACUGGGUGACUAAACAGAACAGCGGGACAUUAUGAUUUAGAGCAACACACCACCGUUCUAUGAAUCGUUGGGGUUUGCACCAUGCGAUGUAGAAUAAUAUAGUCAAUGAGACAAAAUAACUAAUCGAAUGAUUCACUGCGUAUAGUUUUUCUCAUGUUCCCAAUCUUCUAUUGGCAGACAGCCGCUUUAAAUAAUCGGUGCAACGUCGUAACAUUAUUUAGUGGAUUCUUGGUGGAAAUGUGGUGCUUCCUGCCGAUGUUGGUGACUCGAAGGCAAACCGAAUAAAAGGGCUCCAGAUUGAAACAGUUAAACAUAUAGGGUAGAUGAUUUAAUUUUUCUCAAACUAUUAGGGUGCUACACUAUGUUCCGAUGAAUAUACUGGAAGAGGUAGAGAUUUUGUGCGAAGUAGGGAUACCAAUUUUUUAUCCCAUAAUUUGAACAGCAGACGAUGUGUUCGGUUAGGUACAAUAAAUAGAUAGGCUACGAUGAUAUAAAGAGAUGUAACCCUCUCAGUGGGAGGCACGAUUCUCGAGAGUCUAAGAUAGAAUAUUUAUGCAAUUUCACCCGAUCGAAGUGAAUUAUAACUCUUACAGAAACAUGGACAAAUAUAUUGCGAAUGAAUAAAUUAUGUUUCUAAAGUAAA
Topomyia yanbarensis is the source of this 1721-nucleotide long non-coding RNA. RefSeq lists it as uncharacterized. The record is from RefSeq and is a predicted model, not a curated record. The transcript has 4 exons. NCBI's taxonomy places the organism in Eukaryota, Metazoa, Arthropoda, Insecta, Diptera, Culicidae.